GUAGGUAUAGCUCAGUGGCAGAGCGCAUGCUCAGCAUGCACGCAGUCCUGGGUUCAAUCCCCAGCACCUCCA
Molecule: transfer RNA, 72 nt
Filed under: Camelus ferus (Wild Bactrian camel)
Lineage: Eukaryota; Metazoa; Chordata; Mammalia; Artiodactyla; Camelidae
Rfam family: tRNA
About the family: Transfer RNA (tRNA) molecules are approximately 80 nucleotides in length. Their secondary structure includes four short double-helical elements and three loops (D, anti-codon, and T loops). Further hydrogen bonds mediate the characteristic L-shaped molecular structure. tRNAs have two regions of fundamental functional importance: the anti-codon, which is responsible for specific mRNA codon recognition, and the 3' end, to which the tRNAs corresponding amino acid is attached (by aminoacyl-tRNA synthetases). tRNAs cope with the degeneracy of the genetic code in two manners: having more than one tRNA (with a specific anti-codon) for a particular amino acid; and 'wobble' base-pairing, i.e. permitting non-standard base-pairing at the 3rd anti-codon position.
Source: Rfam by way of RNAcentral